CGCUGGGUAGGGGUGUAUACCGGGGCAGCAGCUCCUGAGACCGCUGCAGAGUCGCAUCUCCUCCGUAUGGUUAGAGGGAGAACUGAUAUCUGAUCAUCGAUUAAGACAGAUCUAUAUGUUUUAGCAACUCUUGAAUCCGUGUUUUUAAAGGCAUAAUUGCGCGAGAUUUCCUCCUGGAUGGAAUAGACGUCAAGGCCAUUUUUCUGUGGGCGCGAGACUGUUGACAGUUCUWGGGCUGGACCGGAGACGGAAAGAUCAAUGUGAUUGAUCAAUCUCCCUCCUCCCUGGAAGACAUCGGGCUGUUGUGGAGCAGCUAGGCGACGGGAUUCGCGUGGGACGCAGGGAAUAACGGACAUUUACAUUGAAGCAGCGCACAAAGGGAAAAACAUUCAUGUAGUCUACCGACAAUAACUUUUAUGGUACACGGUUCGUGUGUCGGUUUGAUUGGGAAAUGAAGCAGGCCCGGUUUAACGCGGGGAGGAGGGCUCGGUCUGGGCCGUGUGUGUUGCGGCAGGGUUCGAGUGGGGUCGGUAACAUCAUCAGUAACGUCCUGAAGAAAGGAACGGAAUCUCCCGGAGAGCGCCCCGUCUGCUCUGCACGCUCGAGCCAGGAGUGGACACCAGGUUAAAGUUCACCAUCGAACCUUCUCUGGGCAAGAAYGGCUUCCAACAGUGGUAUGAUGCUCUGAAGGCUGUGGUCAGACUUCCUACAGGCAUCCCUAAAGAGUGGAGGAAGAGGGUACGUUAUAGUAGUGCCACUGAUGUAACCGAUGUGAUGGUACUUCCCAUCUCUCCAGCAGUGUUUAUAAUGACCGUCCAGCCAGCGGUCCCCGUUGAUUGGUGUUUAUAAUGACCGUCCAGCCAGCGGUCCCAGUUGAU
RNA transcript from Salvelinus sp. IW2-2015, 878 nucleotides. It is a transcript of the gene named TBC1 domain family member 30-like, with no coding region annotated. The record is from RefSeq and is a predicted model, not a curated record. Lineage: Eukaryota; Metazoa; Chordata; Actinopteri; Salmoniformes; Salmonidae.